GGAUCGAUCAUACCAGCACUAAUGCACCGGAUCCCAUCAGAACUCCGAAGUUAAGCGUGCUUGGGCGAGAGUAGUACUAGGAUGGGUGACCCCCUGGAAGUCCUCGUGUUGCAUCCC
RNAcentral lists this ribosomal RNA (117 nucleotides) under Ipomoea nil (Japanese morning glory). The record is from RNAcentral. Lineage: Eukaryota; Viridiplantae; Streptophyta; Magnoliopsida; Solanales; Convolvulaceae.